This 253-nucleotide ribosomal RNA is filed under the name uncultured bacterium. Its description in RNAcentral is "partial 16S ribosomal RNA". It matches the Rfam family "Bacterial small subunit ribosomal RNA", at positions 524 to 776 of the family's 1533-position model. The record is from RNAcentral.
UACGUAGGGGGCUAGCGUUGUCCGGAAUCAUUGGGCGUAAAGAGCUCGUAGGCGGUUUGUCGCGUCGGGAGUGAAAACCUUGGGCUUAACUCAGGGCUUGCUUUCGAUACGGGCAGACUAGAGGUAUGCAGGGGAGAACGGAAUUCCUGGUGUAGCGGUGAAAUGCGCAGAUAUCAGGAAGAACACCCGUGGCGAAGGCGGCUCUCUGGGACGGUACUGACGCUGAGACGCGAAAGCGUGGGGAGCGGACAGG